This 1585-nucleotide long non-coding RNA is filed under the name Vulpes vulpes (red fox). RNAcentral describes it as "lncRNA (ENSVVUG00000029295.1)". Lineage: Eukaryota; Metazoa; Chordata; Mammalia; Carnivora; Canidae. The record is from RNAcentral.
AUGCCUGAAAUGGAGGUUCAGAAUUCUGUUUCAUCACAAAGGUUUUAUGACAAUUCCCAGGAAAUCAGUGAACAAGGAAAUAAAAUUCAAGGUUGCGGCUGCCUUGGAUGUGAGGCUGUCUGCAUCUCAGGAGAUACAACCUGUAAUCCUCUGUGGGCAGAACUCUACAGUUUACGUGGUGGAUCAUUAUGUUUGUCUCAUAACCCCAUCCUCCCACCCCAGCGACCCAGCCCCUCUGCACCCCAGGAUGAGCCCCACAGAAGCUCCUGUUCGAAAGUUGGUUGCUGCAGGAAACCAAGACCAGAGUCAGAAGCAAGAGUUAUGAAAGAUGAAAGCAGUGUGUGCGUCUUUAAGAGAAGACGUCCAUCAGAGGGCUUCCUGGAGCUCGAGAUCCUUCUGGCUGUCGGCUGGAGAGUAACUGGCACAGAGCGAGUCUGGACGUGGGAGUCCUUUGAACCUGAGAUGUGAGGAGGCCCAGCAAGAGUGAGUGGGAGACAAGAGCGUUUUAUGGAAAGGACCGGCUCCACACAUCAGUGGGACAAGCCAGAGGGCCAGCAGGAUUUGGGGAGCCAGUGGCUCUGAGGACAGAAGAGGAGAUGCUCGAGAAAGCCUGAGCGCUCUGUGUGCAGCCAAGUUGGGAGGGCGCUGAGAAGCAUCUGGCAUGGUCGGCAGCCAGGGGGCUUCGGUGGUCUGGUCUACAGCUCAGGGGGCAGAUCUAACCCAAAACUCCAGGCAGGGAUGGAAGAGACAGUCCACGAAGCUGAGGGCACUCUGUAGAGAGGGAUCCAGGGGCCUGGUCAGAUCCAGGCUCCGGAUGCAGUAAGAGAAGCCCAGCAGGGAGACCGGGAAGGCCCAGACAAGGCGGUGGGGAGAACAGGAGAGGACAGGCUGCCAGGCGAAGGAGGAGGGCGUUUCCAGAAGGCGGGAGCGGUCACCUGUGGGCUGUGAGCACGAAGGUUAGAAUGGAGAUGAGAGGAAAGCCUGGGCCCAGGUGACUGGAGAACUGCCCGGGCCUUCCAUGAGAGGCGGGCACAGCAGCUGGGAAGCCUCCUGAGACGGGAAGGGAAGGAGAGGAGGGAGGCAGGGCCAGUGGGACUCAGUCUCCAACAUCAGAUCUGCGGAGGUUAGUUUUCAGAGGGGGAUGCAGCAGGGACACAGCAAGUACAGGUGUGGCAACUAGUGACCAUACGGGACCAAGGGUGCAGACAGAUGUGUGUUAGGCUAAACAGGACUUCAUGAAACCGCCUACCUUUCCUGGGCAACCUGAUCUCUCCUGCGUUCCCCUCCACGGGUGACAGCAGUCCACGUGGGUGCUAGUUCCAUCCUCCUUCUAGACAGGGAUAGGGUUAUUGAUCACCUUCUAUCCCCCAGGCCACUUGCAACAGUCAGUAAAACUGACAAGUGCUGGGGCACCUGGUGGCUCAGUCGUUGGGUGCCUGCCUUCGGCUCAGGUCGUGAUUCCGGGGGUCCAGGAUCGAGUCUGGCGUCGGGCUCCCCGCAGGGAGCAUGCUUCUCUCCCUGCCUAUGUCUCUGCCUCUCUCUGUGUCUCUCAUGGAUAAAUAAAAUUUUUUUUAAAAACCUGACA